Molecule: non-coding RNA, 30 nt
Filed under: Sus scrofa (pig)
Lineage: Eukaryota; Metazoa; Chordata; Mammalia; Artiodactyla; Suidae
Also listed under: 2 other names
Source: RNAcentral
GGUUAGGAUUCGGCGCUCUCACCGCCGCGG